RNAcentral lists this ribosomal RNA (253 nucleotides) under uncultured bacterium. RNAcentral's name for it is "partial 16S ribosomal RNA". It matches the Rfam family "Bacterial small subunit ribosomal RNA", at positions 524 to 776 of the family's 1533-position model. The record is from RNAcentral.
UACGUAGGUGGCAAGCGUUGUCCGGAAUCAUUGGGCGUAAAGCGCGCGUAGGCGGCUCGAUCAGUCUGUUGUGAAAGUCAAAGGCUCAACCUUUGAAUGCCGAUGGAUACUGUCGAGCUAGAGUCCGGAAGAGGCGGGUGGAAUUCCUGGUGUAGCGGUGGAAUGCGCAGAUAUCAGGAGGAACACCAACGGCGAAGGCAGCCCGCUGGGACGGUACUGACGCUAAGGCGCGAAAGCGUGGGGAGCGAACAGG